RNAcentral lists this ribosomal RNA (253 nucleotides) under uncultured bacterium. Its description in RNAcentral is "partial 16S ribosomal RNA". It matches the Rfam family "Bacterial small subunit ribosomal RNA", at positions 524 to 776 of the family's 1533-position model. The record is from RNAcentral.
UACAGAGGGUGCGAGCGUUAAUCGGAAUUACUGGGCGUAAAGCGUGCGUAGACGGUUAUGUAAGUCGGGUGUGAAAGCCCCCGGCUCAACUGGGGAGGGUCACGCGAUACUGAUCGACUCGAAGGCAGGAGAGGGUAGUGGAAUUCCCGGUGUAGUGGUGAAAUGCGUAGAUAUCGGGAGGAACACCAGUGGCGAAGGCGACUACCUGGCCUGUUCUUGACGCUGAGGCGCGAAAGCUAGGGGAGCAAACGGG